Molecule: long non-coding RNA, 480 nt
Filed under: Homo sapiens (human)
Lineage: Eukaryota; Metazoa; Chordata; Mammalia; Primates; Hominidae
Description: MIR646 host gene
Source: RNAcentral
AUCCACUGGGAGUCCUUUUGCGUUUCAGAUGCUCCCAGGCUCUCCCGCAGUUUAAAGACUUAACUCAGCGGCUUUCAGGGCCUGUGGUUGAGGGACUCCGAAAGAACUGUUGCUGGUGGACCGGUUCAGGGUCUUGACUUCGCCACACAAAAGAACUUGAGAGCACGUCCAAAGUAAAGCUAAGACCUCUAGUACAGUGUUCAAUGGAACUGGUGAGAAAAGACGUCCUUGCUGUGUUCCUGAUAUGAAGAGGAAAGCAGUCCUUCUCCAUUAAGUAAAAUGCUGACAACAUGAGCCUCCCGUGGUCGGAACGGGCUUGUGAAGGCGGUGCUGGGGUGCACCAGGGCAGCAGCUACAGGGUCAAGCCUGAGACACCUGAAGCCCUGGACUUGGAAUCUGAAGCUGUCAUCAGCCAGUACACCUAUGAACCUGUGGAAGACCUGAAGUACCUGUUUAAAAGACAGCCAAAAGAUAAGUAAA